RNAcentral lists this ribosomal RNA (424 nucleotides) under uncultured bacterium. RNAcentral describes it as "bacterial SSU rRNA". It matches the Rfam family "Bacterial small subunit ribosomal RNA", at positions 355 to 776 of the family's 1533-position model. The record is from RNAcentral.
UGAGGAAUAUUGGUCAAUGGGCGCGAGCCUGAACCAGCCAAGUAGCGUGAAGGAUGACUGCCCUAUGGGUUGUAAACUUCUUUUAUAUGGGAAUAAAGUUUUCCACGUGUGGAAUUUUGUAUGUACCAUAUGAAUAAGGAUCGGCUAACUCCGUGCCAGCAGCCGCGGUAAUACGGAGGAUCCGAGCGUUAUCCGGAUUUAUCGGGUUUAAAGGGAGCGUAGAUGGGUUGUUAAGUCAGUUGUGAAAGUUUGCGGCUCAACCGUAAAAUUGCAAUUGAUACUGGCAGCCUUGAGUACAGUUGAGGUAGGCGGAAUUCGUGGUGUAGCGGUGAAAUGCUUAGAUAUCACGAAGAACUCCGAUUGCGAAGGCAGCUCACUGGACUGCAACUGACACUGAUGCUCGAAAGUGUGGGUAUCAAACAGG